GGGCUCGUAGCGCAGAGGUCGUCGUGCAGCCUUGCUCAGGCUGAGGACGCCGGUUCGAAUCCGGCCGGUCCG
This 72-nucleotide transfer RNA is filed under the name Actinoplanes italicus. It matches the Rfam family "tRNA". Rfam says of the family: Transfer RNA (tRNA) molecules are approximately 80 nucleotides in length. Their secondary structure includes four short double-helical elements and three loops (D, anti-codon, and T loops). Further hydrogen bonds mediate the characteristic L-shaped molecular structure. tRNAs have two regions of fundamental functional importance: the anti-codon, which is responsible for specific mRNA codon recognition, and the 3' end, to which the tRNAs corresponding amino acid is attached (by aminoacyl-tRNA synthetases). tRNAs cope with the degeneracy of the genetic code in two manners: having more than one tRNA (with a specific anti-codon) for a particular amino acid; and 'wobble' base-pairing, i.e. permitting non-standard base-pairing at the 3rd anti-codon position. Lineage: Bacteria; Bacillati; Actinomycetota; Actinomycetes; Micromonosporales; Micromonosporaceae. The record is from Rfam by way of RNAcentral.